This 21-nucleotide microRNA is filed under the name Dasypus novemcinctus (nine-banded armadillo). RNAcentral's name for it is "dno-miR-873-5p". Its record names the gene dno-miR-873-5p. RNAcentral also lists the same sequence under 9 other names. The record is from miRBase by way of RNAcentral. Lineage: Eukaryota; Metazoa; Chordata; Mammalia; Cingulata; Dasypodidae.
GCAGGAACUUGUGAGUCUCCU